RNAcentral lists this transfer RNA (85 nucleotides) under Verrucomicrobiia bacterium DG1235. Its description in RNAcentral is "Verrucomicrobiae bacterium DG1235 tRNA". It matches the Rfam family "tRNA". Rfam says of the family: Transfer RNA (tRNA) molecules are approximately 80 nucleotides in length. Their secondary structure includes four short double-helical elements and three loops (D, anti-codon, and T loops). The record is from Rfam by way of RNAcentral. Lineage: Bacteria; Pseudomonadati; Verrucomicrobiota; Verrucomicrobiia.
GGAGAGAUGGCAGAGUGGUCGAAUGCGCACGCUUGGAAAGCGUGUGUACCGCAAGGUACCGGGGGUUCGAAUCCCUCUCUCUCCG